Molecule: ribosomal RNA, 337 nt
Filed under: Clostridioides difficile
Lineage: Bacteria; Bacillati; Bacillota; Clostridia; Peptostreptococcales; Peptostreptococcaceae
Description: partial 23S ribosomal RNA
Rfam family: Bacterial large subunit ribosomal RNA
Source: RNAcentral
AAGCAGCCACUCAUUCAAAGAGUGCGUAAUAGCUCACUGGUCGAGUGAUCCUGCGCCGAAGAUUUCCGGGGCUAAAACUUACUACCGAAGCUACGGCAUCAUUAUGAUGGGUAGGGGAGCUUCCCAUACGGGUUGAAGCAUGACCGUAAGGACAUGGGGACAGUAUGGGAGUGAGAAUGUUGGCAUGAGUAGCGAGAUGUGGGUGAGAAUCCCACAGGCCGUAAACCCAAGGUUUCCAGGGGAAGGUUCGUCCGCCCUGGGUUAGUCGGGACCUAAGCUGAGGCCGAAAGGCGUAGGUGAUGGACAACAGGUUGAUAUUCCUGUACUACCGAUAACC